Molecule: ribosomal RNA, 255 nt
Filed under: uncultured bacterium
Lineage: Bacteria
Description: partial small subunit ribosomal RNA
Rfam family: Bacterial small subunit ribosomal RNA
Source: RNAcentral
AGGACGAACGCUGGCGGCGUGCUUAACACAUGCAAGUCGAACGAUGAAGCCCUUCGGGGUGGAUUAGUGGCGAACGGGUGAGUAACACGUGGGCAAUCUGCCCUUCACUCUGGGACAAGCCCUGGAAACGGGGUCUAAUACCGGAUAACACUCCUGCCUGCAUGGGCGGGGGUUAAAAGCUCCGGCGGUGAAGGAUGAGCCCGCGGCCUAUCAGCUUGUUGGUGGGGUAAUGGCCUACCAAGGCGACGACGGGUA